AUUUACAUAGUUUAAAAUAAAACAUUACAUUUUCAAUGUAAAAAUAAACAAAAUUUGUAAAUA
This 63-nucleotide transfer RNA is filed under the name Alleculinae sp. BMNH 1042437. Its description in RNAcentral is "tRNA-Glu". Lineage: Eukaryota; Metazoa; Arthropoda; Insecta; Coleoptera; Tenebrionidae. The record is from RNAcentral.